UGGCUGAUCUAUUGGACAUAUCCUAAAUUAUCAAACAAAAUUCUUUAUUUCUUUGUCUUCUAGACAAAUCACCACAGAGCUGCAGACCAGCAACGAAGGGAGCUGAGGGCAAUUUGACCAACAUCAUCUGUGUCGGUUCCCCAGAUGUCAAUGAAACACGUAAUCGGGUCUCCAAGACCACAAGCCUCAGAAGAUCACUGUGGAAGAAACACACUGGGCCAACCCAUCCUGUUGAUAUGACACAAAGUGCAGCCCAGUUUGGUAUUCUUUAAACUCUGAAGGAGUCUCACACCAGGAAGGUGCCUGGAUUCUACAGAAACUGGAAAUGCCAUGAAGAUACAUACGCAAUUAUGAAUUAAUUUGUUUUCAUGUUCACCAUCAGCACUGCUUUUUCAAAGUUUAAUUUUAAUAUUACACUAUUUUAAUUCUCAGCAUGGCAAGUGUGCAC
RNAcentral lists this long non-coding RNA (448 nucleotides) under Cyanistes caeruleus (blue tit). RNAcentral's name for it is "lncRNA (ENSCCEG00000000924.1)". The record is from RNAcentral. Lineage: Eukaryota; Metazoa; Chordata; Aves; Passeriformes; Paridae.